RNAcentral lists this ribosomal RNA (500 nucleotides) under uncultured bacterium. RNAcentral describes it as "partial 16S ribosomal RNA". It matches the Rfam family "Bacterial small subunit ribosomal RNA", at positions 29 to 523 of the family's 1533-position model. The record is from RNAcentral.
AUUGAACGCUGGCGGCAUGCCUUACACAUGCAAGUCGAACGGCAGCACGGGAGCAACCCUGGUGGCGAGUGGCGAACGGGUGAGUAAAGUAUCGGAACGUGCCCAGUCGUGGGGGAUAACGUAGCGAAAGUUACGCUAAUACCGCAUACGAUCUAUGGAUGAAAGCGGGGGAUCGCAAGACCUCGCGCGAUUGGAGCGGCCGAUAUCAGAUUAGGUAGUUGGUGGGGUAAAGGCUCACCAAGCCGACGAUCUGUAGCUGGUCUGAGAGGACGACCAGCCACACUGGGACGGGGACACGGCCCAGACGCCUACGGGAGGCAGCAGUGGGGAAUUUUGGACAAUGGGCGAAAGCCUGAUCCAGCCAUGCCGCGUGCAGGAUGAAGGCCUUCGGGUUGUAAACUGCUUUUGUACGGAACGAAAAGGUUUGGCCUAAUAAGCUGAGCUCAUGACGGUACCGUAAGAAUAAGCACCGGCUAACUACGUGCCAGCCGCCGCGGUAA